GCAUUCAACUCGGUGGUCGUCUGUCUGGUUCCAAUGUCACAACUUAACUCUAAUGGAUAAAGAUGUUGCACUGGUCGUUCCAUGAAACUUUUCCCCGCACGUAGCUUUACCGCUAUUACGACACCAUCUUUCCCUUCGAAUAGUUCGUGUACAAUUCCCAGCGGUCAUUCUCCUCUAUUUCUUUCAUCUGAUUUAAUUAUAACAACGUCUCCGACCAAUAGGGUAAAAGGCUUCCCUUUAAGCAUGAUGUGUCGUUCGCGUAACCCUCGCACAUAUUCGUUUGCCCAUCGUUUCCAAACAGCUUCUUUGCAACGUUUCAAG
This is a non-coding RNA of Paramuricea clavata, 321 nucleotides long. NCBI's taxonomy places the organism in Eukaryota, Metazoa, Cnidaria, Anthozoa, Malacalcyonacea, Plexauridae. The record is from the annotation of a GenBank genome assembly.